This is a long non-coding RNA of Rhipicephalus sanguineus (brown dog tick), 1348 nucleotides long. RefSeq lists it as uncharacterized. Lineage: Eukaryota; Metazoa; Arthropoda; Arachnida; Ixodida; Ixodidae. The transcript has 4 exons. The record is from RefSeq and is a predicted model, not a curated record.
GUUACGCUUCGUACAUUGAGAGUUGUUCGUAAUGUAGUACGCGUUGUCGCAGAAGAAAAUCGUAUAACGUGUUCGUACUGUGUGCGGUUGUAGACGUGUGGAUGGUUCUCGCGCAUGACGUUUGUCAAGAACGUAGUCGGUAGUUUUAUAAAGUUUUGGUAAUUAGCUCACUAGCACGCACUGCGCUACGUUAAUAUUUGUUGAAAGGAGCCAACAUUUUCAUGAAGCACACCAUUGUCAUGCGUUUUAUUAAUGUAGUUCACUCUUGUAAACUUACUUACAGCAACGCCCGAAACUGAAGCUUCAUCAUUCAUUUCUUUCGCACGAGAUCUGAAGGAAUAAUUUUCAGUCACCGUGUUGUGCGGUGAAUCGUGAAUCGGUAGUGUGGGGGAUGUAAUGUGUAUCUAGAAAUAUUUGCUUUAGGCGUGCAUUUUAUGUGUCCUUAAGUAACGUGACCCUCAAACGCGUUUAAGUUAGCAUUAUUGGACAUUGCUUAUCGUCUUUCAAGCAACAGCUAACGUAUAUUUGCGAAAAAUGCAAUUUCUGCAGCAUGACACUAUGUUGUUCAGUUGGUUUGCCCCAUUUUAACCUUUAUGUGCAUUGACCUAAUUUGACAAGCCAUACUUUCAGCUGAAUUUUCAUUUGCAUUCAGCAUUAAUAUGUGCGUCCGUGCAUUGAAGUUUCACCUCUCAUCGCAUAAUAAUAGCUUGUAAAGAACAACGCUUGUCUUUUUUAGCCAUUUACCCAUUUAGCCAUUUAUCAGAGCUCUGCUCCCCUCCUCAAAGGGCAAGGUGCUGCUGGCACACCUGCUUCGGCUUUCCUUUUUUUCUUUUGAAUGCUUAAGUCUUUCGUAACGUACUGCAGGUAGCAAACAGCAGUGCCACGACAAACAGUGGGGUGCUGACCAUGCAGUCCAGAAGGUGGCCGAGGCAAGCAUGCCAUAAGGGGUGCUUAUUCAGGCAGAAGAAAUAAGCAUCUGUAGCCAACGUAAAGGAAGCAUCUUCAAAAAGCAGUGCUACAAGGAUGUGAGCAGAAAUUUCCCUUCAACGAAUGGGUCAAAUUCAUGGAAGCCACGUGCCUGCUGCUUCUGGCCUACACAAGCAUGCAGCCACCAUAGUAAAGUUCUUGCAAAGGUAUUCUACACAAACUUGCCUAAAGGCGGAAUAAAGGCACGUACAGAUAGACGCACUGAAAUCAUGGGGCUGCCAUAGAAGCUGUGAAUGAGCAUUAACCUGCGAACGUACAGAAUGGAGCGAAGUGGAGCUCUCCAUGGGCCGCGCACACAGUUUCAUAAGCGGGCUUGCAACAGCUUUGACAAUUAUGUUCCUGAAUAUAUCUGCCAAAGUGG